Molecule: ribosomal RNA, 497 nt
Filed under: uncultured bacterium
Lineage: Bacteria
Description: partial 16S ribosomal RNA
Rfam family: Bacterial small subunit ribosomal RNA
Source: RNAcentral
GAUGAACGCUGGCGGCGUGCCUAAUACAUGCAAGUCGAGCGAACGGACGAGAAGCUUGCUUCUCUGAUGUUAGCGGCGGACGGGUGAGUAACACGUGGAUAACCUACCUAUAAGACUGGGAUAACUUCGGGAAACCGGAGCUAAUACCGGAUAAUAUUUUGAACCGCAUGGUUCAAAAGUGAAAGACGGUCUUGCUGUCACUUAUAGAUGGAUCCGCGCCGCAUUAGCGAGUUGGUAAGGUAACGGCUUACCAAGGCAACGAGGCAUAGCCGACCUGAGAGGGUGGUCGGCGGCGCGGGAGGGGAGAGAGGGUCCGGAGGGCUACGGGAGGCAGCAGUGGGGAAUGUGGCGGAAUGGGGGAAAGCGGGACGGAGCAGGGGGGCGUGAGGGAUGAAGGUCGUGGGAUGGUGAGGCUCUGUUAUUAGGGAAGAAGAGAUGUGUAAGUAGCUGUGGACGGGGUGACGGUACGUAGUGAGAAAGCCACGGCUAACUACGUG